UGGUAAGUAUACCGGAAGGUGUGCUUGGAAA
RNAcentral lists this ribosomal RNA (31 nucleotides) under Bokermannohyla ibitiguara (Fazenda Salto treefrog). RNAcentral describes it as "partial small subunit ribosomal RNA". Lineage: Eukaryota; Metazoa; Chordata; Amphibia; Anura; Hylidae. The record is from RNAcentral. RNAcentral also lists the same sequence under 1 other name.